UUAAUAGAUCUGGAGAAUGAAAGUCCAUCUUUAUCCACAGAAUAAGAACUGCCAGGGCAGCACCCUGCAGACUUCCUAAAAUGAAGAGAGCAAUGUGCCUCAACUGUGUUCUGGAGGAAUGACAUAUAGUCGUGAGAAGGUAGUUCAAUCUCCAUAUCAUUCAAUCCUUAUUAAGA
Molecule: unclassified non-coding RNA, 176 nt
Organism: Chelonoidis abingdonii (Abingdon island giant tortoise)
Lineage: Eukaryota; Metazoa; Chordata; Testudines; Testudinidae
Source: Ensembl